Molecule: ribosomal RNA, 492 nt
Filed under: uncultured bacterium
Lineage: Bacteria
Description: partial 16S ribosomal RNA
Rfam family: Bacterial small subunit ribosomal RNA
Source: RNAcentral
AGUGAACGCUGGCGGUAGGCCUAACACAUGCAAGUCGAACGGCAGCACAGUAAGAGCUUGCUCUUACGGGUGGCGAGUGGCGGACGGGUGAGGAAUACAUCGAAAUCUACUUUUUCGUGGGGGAUAACGUAGGGAAACUUACGCUAAUACCGCAUACGACCUACGGGUGAAAGCAGGGGAUCUUCGGACCUUGCGCGAUUGAAUGAGCCGAUGUCGGAUUAGCUAGUUGGCGGGGUAAAGGCCCACCAAGGCGACGAUCCGUAGCUGGUCUGAGAGGAUGAUCAGCCACGCUGGAACUGAGACACGGUCCAGACUCCUACGGGAGGCAGCAGUGGGGAAUAUUGGACAAUGGGCGCAAGCCUGAUCCAGCCAUACCGCGUGGGUGAAGAAGGCCUUCGGGUUGUAAAGCCCUUUUGUUGGGAAAGAAAGGCAGCAGGUUAAUACCCCGCUGUUCUGACGGUACCCAAAGAAUAAGCACCGGCUAACUUCGUG